Molecule: ribosomal RNA, 906 nt
Filed under: Helicoon myosuroides
Lineage: Eukaryota; Fungi; Ascomycota; Dothideomycetes; Venturiales; Venturiaceae
Description: LSU rRNA
Rfam family: Eukaryotic large subunit ribosomal RNA
Source: RNAcentral
UAGCAUAUCAAUAAGCGGAGGAAAAGAAACCAACAGGGAUUGCCUCAGUAACGGCGAGUGAAGCGGCAACAGCUCAAAUUUGAAAUCUGGCUCACGCCCGAGUUGUAAUUUGUAGAGGAUGCUUCGGGUGAAGCCACGGUCCAAGUCCCUUGGAACAGGACGUCAUAGAGGGUGAGAACCCCGUACCUGGCCGUCGGUGCCCCCCGCUGUGAAGCUCCUUCGACGAGUCGAGUUGUUUGGGAAUGCAGCUCUAAAUUGGUGGUAAAUUCCAUCUAAAGCUAAAUACCGGCCAGAGACCGAUAGCGCACAAGUAGAGUGAUCGAAAGAUGAAAAGCACUUUGAAAAGAGAGUUAAAAAGUACGUGAAAUUGUUGAAAGGGAAGCGCUUGCGGCCAGACUUGCCCGCGGUUGCUCAGCCCGCCUUUUGGCGGGUGCACUCUUCCGCGGUCAGGCCAGCAUCGGUUUGGGCGGUCGGAUAAAGGCGUUGGGAACGUGGCCUCCCCUCGGGGAGGUGUUAUAGCCCGGCGCGCAAUGCGACCAGCCCGGACCGAGGUUCGCGCUUUGCUAGGAUGCUGGCGUAAUGGCCGUAAGCGGCCCGUCUUGAAACACGGACCAAGGAGUCUAACAUCUAUGCGAGUGUUUGGGUGUCAAACCCGUGCGCGUAAUGAAAGUGAACGGAGGUGGGAACCGCAAGGUGCACCAUCGACCGAUCCUGAUGUCUUCGGAAGGAUUUGAGUAAGAGCAUAGCUGUUGGGACCCGAAAGAUGGUGAACUAUGCGUGAAUAGGGUGAAGCCAGAGGAAACUCUGGUGGAGGCUCGCAGCGGUUCUGACGUGCAAAUCGAUCGUCAAAUUUGCGUAUAGGGGCGAAAGACUAAUCGAACCAUUUAGUAGCUGGUUCCUGCCGAU